Long non-coding RNA from Osmerus eperlanus (European smelt), 326 nucleotides. RefSeq lists it as uncharacterized. NCBI's taxonomy places the organism in Eukaryota, Metazoa, Chordata, Actinopteri, Osmeriformes, Osmeridae. The transcript has 3 exons. The record is from RefSeq and is a predicted model, not a curated record.
GACACCUCCUCAAUAAAAGCUCAUGCUGAAAAGGCCAUGACAGACUUGAACACUGCAGGAGAGGAGAGAGCAUCUCUGAAUUAGCUGAGUGAAGUUAAACUCCUUUUAAUAUUGAUUCUUUCAGAAUCGAAGGAAAAAUGAUUGGACAUAAAAUGCUUCUGCUACUUUUGAUUAUUAGUUUGGGGAGCUGUCAAACUACAACUCCUGCAACAACCACUGCUGUCCCAGCAACAACCACAACAGUGCCAACAUCCACAGAUGCUCCUACAACAACCACAGCUGUCCCAGUGCCAACAUCCACAGUGCCAACAUCCACAGUGCCAACA